UUCUUUCAUCUGUUUUCUUCUCCUCUCUGUCUCUCUCUCUCCCCCUGAUCACUUCUCUAUAUCUUGAACACUGUACGAAAGGGGAGAGCAAGAACCCUCGUGUCCUCUCAUUUCUCUUCUUGCACCAUCCUCUUCUUCUCCGAAAUCUCCUGGAGAGACUGAAACCAACAAAACCCUCUCUCUCUCUCAUUCAUAUCAUAUACAGAAACAGAACUGUGUUAGAUUUGUGAAGAUCUUAAGUCACUUUCCUGUCUCUGACUCUCAUGAUGACAAUGACCUCUCGCCCUCUUUUCGCAUAAUAACACCCUUCCCUAGUUUUGGUCCUUACUUGCAUCAUUUAUUAUCUUCUCUUUCAUUUAGCUGUUUCCCUGCAUAUUUCAUUGUUUCUUCCAUCUUUUUGUUGUUUUCGUUUGCUCUCUCCCUCUCCCUCUCCCUCUCCCUCUCCCCUCAAGUAGCUAUGCGUAAUGGGUUUGUGCUUAUGGACAUGAAUAUCAAAAACAAAAAUCUCUCUCUAUAAGAAGUUGCUGGAAAAGAUCAUAUCAGGCAUGCAAAGGAGGAAAGUAACUGGCGAGCCAAUGUGCCCGUGGCCGUGGGAGUUUACAAUGCUUUUGAAGACUAAGAGCGAGAAGGAAAAAUUGCACGAAGGAGCUCCUCUUUGAUGUUUGCUUUGCAAAGUUGCUGCUAAAACACUGCUUUUAAGCAAUAAAACUUGCCGAAGGAAAGAGUAAACGGAUUAAUCUGUAUUCUUCGUGAAUUAGCCUGAAGUGAUUACCUUCCGUGAUUACUGAGUAUGAGAACUGAGAAGUCUCAGAUGUAGUUUACUGUCAUUUCAUGUGGUUAUAGUUUUAGAGGAGCUUUUCUGCUUGGGAAGGUAUGGUAUUUCGGGUUUUUAUCUUUUAUUGCGGAGCAAAGAAACUGGGAAGGAUUAAUAAUCCAAAAUGGAGCUUUCCAACCUCCUGUGUUGUCAUUUACAAAGAGGAUCGAUAUGAGGAUCGAUAUUGUAACCGCACUGCAGCUCGGAGCUAAGCUAACUUAAUGCACUGCCGGUUCCUUUUC
Eucalyptus grandis is the source of this 1056-nucleotide long non-coding RNA. RefSeq lists it as uncharacterized. The transcript has 2 exons. Lineage: Eukaryota; Viridiplantae; Streptophyta; Magnoliopsida; Myrtales; Myrtaceae. The record is from RefSeq and is a predicted model, not a curated record.